GACAGAGGGGGCAAGCGUUGCUCGGAAUCACUGGGCGUAAAGGGCGCGUAGGCGGGAUGGCAAGUCGGUCGUGAAAUCCUUCGGCUCAACCGAAGAACGUCGGCCGAUACUGCCGUUCUUGAGGGAUGCAGAGGAGAUUGGAAUUCCCGGUGUAGCGGUGAAAUGUGUAGAGAUCGGGAGGAACACCGGUGGCGAAGGCGGGUCUCUGGGCAUCUCCUGACGCUGAGGCGCGAAAGCCAGGGGAGCAAACGGG
RNAcentral lists this ribosomal RNA (253 nucleotides) under uncultured bacterium. RNAcentral describes it as "partial 16S ribosomal RNA". It matches the Rfam family "Bacterial small subunit ribosomal RNA", at positions 524 to 776 of the family's 1533-position model. The record is from RNAcentral.